This 253-nucleotide ribosomal RNA is filed under the name uncultured bacterium. Its description in RNAcentral is "partial 16S ribosomal RNA". It matches the Rfam family "Bacterial small subunit ribosomal RNA", at positions 524 to 776 of the family's 1533-position model. The record is from RNAcentral.
UACGUAGGGGGCGAGCGUUAAUCGGAAUUACUGGGCGUAAAGCGCACGUAGGUGGCGACGUAAGUCGGGUGUGAAAGCCCCGGGCUCAACCUGGGAAUUGCAUUCGAGACUGCAUUGCUGGAGUACGGAAGAGGAGGGCGGAAUUCCCGGUGUAGCGGUGAAAUGCGUAGAUAUCGGGAGGAACAUCAGUGGCGAAGGCGGCCCUCUGGUCCAGUACUGACACUCAAGUGCGAAAGCGUGGGGAGCAAACAGG